AUUGAACGCUGGCGGCAGGCCUAACACAUGCAAGUCGAGCGGAUGAAGGGAGCUUGCUCCUGGAUUCAGCGGCGGACGGGUGAGUAAUGCCUAGGAAUCUGCCUGGUAGUGGGGGAUAACGUCCGGAAACGGGCGCUAUAACCGAUACCGUCUGACGGGGGAAGGUGGGGGAUCUUGGGCCUCCAGCCUAUCGGAUGAGCCUAGGUCGGAUUAGCUAGUUGGUGGGGUAAAGGCCUACCAAGGCGACGAUCCGUAACUGGUCUGAGAGGAUGAUCAGCCACACUGGAACUGAGACACGGUCCAGACUCCUACGGGAGGCAGCAGUGGGGAAUAUUGGACAAUGGGCGAAAGCCUGAUCCAGCCAUGCCGCGUGUGUGAAGAAGGUCUUCGGAUUGUAAAGCACUUUAAGUUGGGAGGAAGGGCAGUAAGUUAAUACCUUGCUGUUUUGACGUUACCAACAGAAUAAGCACCGGCUAACUUCGUG
RNAcentral lists this ribosomal RNA (484 nucleotides) under uncultured bacterium. Its description in RNAcentral is "partial 16S ribosomal RNA". It matches the Rfam family "Bacterial small subunit ribosomal RNA", at positions 30 to 507 of the family's 1533-position model. The record is from RNAcentral.